CCUACGGGUGGGCAGCAGUGGGGAAUAUUGGACAAUGGGCGAAAGCCUGAUCCAGCCAUGCCGCGUGUGUGAAGAAGGCCUUCGGGUUGUAAAGCACUUUCAGUGGGGAAGAAAGCCUUGGGGCUAAUACCCUCGAGGAAGGACAUCACCCACAGAAGAAGCACCGGCUAACUCCGUGCCAGCAGCCGCGGUAAUACGGAGGGUGCGAGCGUUAAUCGGAAUUACUGGGCGUAAAGCGCGCGUAGGCGGUCUGAUAAGCCGGUUGUGAAAGCCCCGGGCUCAACCUGGGAACGGCAUCCGGAACUGUCAGGCUAGAGUGCAGGAGAGGAAGGUAGAAUUCCCGGUGUAGCGGUGAAAUGCGUAGAGAUCGGGAGGAAUACCAGUGGCGAAGGCGGCCUUCUGGACUGACACUGACGCUGAGGUGCGAAAGCGUGGGUAGCAAACAGGAUUAGAUACCCGGGUAGUC
Molecule: ribosomal RNA, 466 nt
Filed under: Vreelandella stevensii
Lineage: Bacteria; Pseudomonadati; Pseudomonadota; Gammaproteobacteria; Oceanospirillales; Halomonadaceae
Description: partial 16S ribosomal RNA
Rfam family: Bacterial small subunit ribosomal RNA
Source: RNAcentral